This 444-nucleotide transfer-messenger RNA is filed under the name Candidatus Omnitrophota. Its description in RNAcentral is "2-01-FULL-45-10-A sp001804165 Standard tmRNA". It matches the Rfam family "transfer-messenger RNA". Rfam says of the family: Bacterial tmRNA, also known as 10Sa RNA or SsrA, is named for its dual tRNA and mRNA-like properties. Its role is to liberate the mRNA from a stalled ribosome. To accomplish this part of the tmRNA is used as a reading frame that ends in a translation stop signal. Lineage: Bacteria; Pseudomonadati. The record is from RNAcentral. RNAcentral also lists the same sequence under 1 other name.
GGGGGUGAAAGGCUUCGACCCAGAUAAGCAAGAUAAGGGCGGCAUGUAGAGGUUGCUAGGAGGCCUCUUGGCGCAAGCCAUCCCGAGCGAAAGCGAAGGAUAAAACACCUGGCAAAAAUCAAAUGCUGAUAACGUAAAAGUUCCAGCAACGGUGAAUGAGCUCCUAAGCGCCAUGCAAGUGGUGCCGGAUCCCAUUCUACCGGUAGCGUUACCUUUAUAAGGUAACCCGUCAACUGAUUCAUCCUGCGGGGUCAGAUUGGCGAAGAUAGCAGGAUAGUUUCGCCGAUAUAUCCUUUUGUCGGUGGGAUGAAACUUUAAAAGGAUACCCUUUCGAAAUUCCUCCUAUUGAAGUUCGCAAAGGGGAAAUUAAAGAUUAGGAUAAACAUGUAGAGACCUUUGUUCUGAUGUUUGGGGACGCGAGUUCGAAUCUCGCCACCUCCACCA